CUAAAUAAACUUAUUUCAUUUAACAAAUCACUGAAGAAACUAAGCUAUACUCCCCAUUUCCUGCACCUUUAUAACUUUACAGUUAAAAUAAGAUUUGAAACGUCAACAAGAUGUUUAUAUCUCUACAUAAGGAACAACAAUUCACCCAAUUCAAUCCAUAUUGCUUGCCAUUUGCCUUGAUCAUGGGCUCGAUAAUAUGUCCCUAUGCCUACACUGUUCCUUUUCAGGAACCAGAGUUCCCAUAGGAAUAUCUACACUGGCAGUAAUGUUGGCCGUCUCUCCGUUUUCCUCAGUUUCUUGUGAAGAGCUAUCCGGUGAAUCCACUGGACACCCUCCUAAAUUUCUUUGUACGAGGUUGAGGAAGCUCGUCUUUUUUCUUCUGUGCCUGCUUAUGCCAGCUCAUUAAUGCCCUAAUAGUUUGUUCGUCGAAGAAUGGACCUCCUUCAUAUGUGAUCCCAUUGAAAAUUGUUGGAAU
Molecule: long non-coding RNA, 475 nt
Filed under: Olea europaea (common olive)
Lineage: Eukaryota; Viridiplantae; Streptophyta; Magnoliopsida; Lamiales; Oleaceae
Description: long non-coding RNA (OEUR_LNC015464)
Source: RNAcentral